UUGGAGGGCAAGUCUGGUGCCAGCAGCCGCGGUAAUUCCAGCUCCAAUAGCGUAUAUUAAAGUUGUUGCAGUUAAAAAGCUCGUAGUUGAAUUUCGGGAUCAGAUUGUCGGUCGUGCCUCGGUACGCACUGGCAUUAUUGGUUCCUACCUUCUGAAGAACCGCGAUGUCAUUAAUUUGGUGUCGUGGGGAAUCAGGACUGUUACUUUGAAAAAAUUAGAGUGUUUAAAGCAGGCUUACGCUUGAAUACAUUAGCAUGGAAUAAUGAAAUAGGACGUUUGAUUCUAUUUUGUUGGUUUCUAGGAUUGACGUAAUGAUUAAUAGGGAUAGUUGGGGGCAUUAGUAUUCAAUUGUCAGAGGUGAAACUCUUGGAUUUAUUGAAGACUAACUACUGCGAAAGCAUUUGCCAAGGAUGUUUUCAUUAAUCAAGAACGAAAGUUAGGGGAUCGAAGACGAUCAGAUACCGUCGUAGUCUUAACCAUAAACUAUGCCGACUAGGGAUCGGAUGAUGUUAAUUUUUUAAUGACUCAUUCGGCGCCUUACGGGAAAC
This 548-nucleotide ribosomal RNA is filed under the name uncultured Glomeromycotina. RNAcentral describes it as "SSU rRNA". It matches the Rfam family "Eukaryotic small subunit ribosomal RNA", at positions 548 to 1098 of the family's 1831-position model. The record is from RNAcentral. Lineage: Eukaryota; Fungi; Glomeromycota.